AGGGCACCACCAGGAGUGGAGCCUGCGGCUUAAUUUGACUCAACACGGGAAAACUCACCCGGCCCGUACACCGGAAGGAUUGACAGAUUGAUAGCUCUUUCUUGAUUCGGUGGAUGGUGGUGCAUGGCCGUUCUUAGUUGGUGGAGCGAUCUGUCUGGUUAAUUCCGAUAACGAACGAGACUCUAGCCUAUUAAAUAGACGUCGGGUUCUCUGCACUCGACGGUCUUCUUAGAGGGACAAGGUGCUUUUAGCACCGCGAAACAGAGCAAUAACAGGUCUGUGAUGCCCUUAGAUGUCCGGGGCCGCACGCGCGCUACACUGAAGGAAGCAGCGUGUAACAACCUUGUUCUAACGAACUGGGUAACCCGUGGAACUUCCUUCAUGAUUGGGAUAGGGGUUUGCAAUUGUGCCCCUUGAACGAGGAAUUCCCAGUAAACACUAGUCAUCAGCUAGUGCUGAUUACGUCCCUGCCCUUUGUACACACCGCCCGUCGCUACUACCGAUUGAAUGGUUUAGUGA
Molecule: ribosomal RNA, 519 nt
Filed under: uncultured eukaryote
Lineage: Eukaryota
Description: SSU rRNA
Rfam family: Eukaryotic small subunit ribosomal RNA
Source: RNAcentral